RNAcentral lists this ribosomal RNA (254 nucleotides) under uncultured bacterium. RNAcentral's name for it is "partial 16S ribosomal RNA". It matches the Rfam family "Bacterial small subunit ribosomal RNA", at positions 524 to 776 of the family's 1533-position model. The record is from RNAcentral.
UACGGGGGGAGCAAGCGUUGUUCGGAUUUACUGGGCGUAAAGGGCGCGUAGGCGGCCAGCACAAGUCAGUUGUGAAAUCUCCGAGCUUAACUCGGAAAGGUCAACUGAUACUGUGCGGCUAGAGUGCGGAAGGGGCAACUGGAAUUCUUGGUGUAGCGGUGAAAUGCGUAGAUAUCAGGAAGAACACCCGUGGCGAAGGCGGCUCUCUGGGACGGUACUGACGCUGAGACGCGAAAGCGUGGGGAGCGAACAGG